GGUGGAAGCGGGCGUGCAGCGGUGGGAGUAAGAAGGGGGUUGUGGUUGGUCGGAAUUACUGGGCGUAAAGGGGGCGUAGGGUGUGCUGUAAGUCAGGCGGGAAAGGCCCGGGCUGAACCUGGGAACUGCGUUUGAUACUGCGGCGCUGGAAUGCAGGAGAGGAUGGCGGAAUUCCCAGUGUAGAGGUGAAAUUCGUAGAUAUUGGGAAGAACACCGGUGGCGAAGGCGGCCAUCUGGCCUGCAAUUGACGCUGAGGCGCGAAAGCGUGGGGAGCAAACAGGAUUAGAUACCCCUGUAGUC
This 300-nucleotide ribosomal RNA is filed under the name uncultured Sulfophobococcus sp. RNAcentral's name for it is "partial 16S ribosomal RNA". The stretch from base 52 to 300 matches the Rfam family "Bacterial small subunit ribosomal RNA", at positions 547 to 795 of the family's 1533-position model. The record is from RNAcentral. Lineage: Archaea; Thermoproteati; Thermoproteota; Thermoprotei; Desulfurococcales; Desulfurococcaceae.